Molecule: transfer RNA, 70 nt
Filed under: Barbatula toni (Siberian stone loach)
Lineage: Eukaryota; Metazoa; Chordata; Actinopteri; Cypriniformes; Nemacheilidae
Description: tRNA-Trp
Rfam family: tRNA
About the family: Transfer RNA (tRNA) molecules are approximately 80 nucleotides in length.
Source: RNAcentral
AGGGACUUAGGAUAAGCUAGACCAAGAGCCUUCAAAGCCCUAAGCAGAAGUUAAAAUCUUCUAGUCCCUG